Molecule: ribosomal RNA, 253 nt
Filed under: uncultured bacterium
Lineage: Bacteria
Description: partial 16S ribosomal RNA
Rfam family: Bacterial small subunit ribosomal RNA
Source: RNAcentral
UACAGAGGUCCCAAGCGUUGUUCGGAUUCACUGGGCGUAAAGGGUGCGUAGGCGGUCGGGUAAGUCUGAUGUGAAAUCUCACAGCUUAACUGUGAAACUGCAUUGGAUACUAUUCGGCUUGAGAGUUGGAGGGGGGACUGGAAUUCUUGGUGUAGCAGUGAAAUGCGUAGAUAUCAAGAGGAACACCAGUGGCGAAGGCGAGUCCCUGGACAACUUCUGACGCUGAGGCACGAAAGCUGGGGGAGCAAACAGG